Haliotis rubra (blacklip abalone) is the source of this 441-nucleotide long non-coding RNA. RefSeq lists it as uncharacterized. The record is from RefSeq and is a predicted model, not a curated record. The transcript is spliced from 3 exons. NCBI's taxonomy places the organism in Eukaryota, Metazoa, Mollusca, Gastropoda, Lepetellida, Haliotidae.
AAUGGAUAGGCUUAAUAGGUUCUAAUUGUUAUUUGAAAUUAUUCUGUAAUUUCAGAAGGCUCGACGGAUGCCCAACAUUCGAGAAUGACAGGAUUUGUUCAUGUCAUUUUGAAUGUGGCUCAAAGGAUGGUGAUCCAAUAUUUUCCCCCCACAACAAAGGAAAACUGUUUCAGUUCAAGGAUCCCAAACCCUAGAGAAAAAGGAGUGUGCCUUUGGAGUGCAGUGAUGUACCGGCAAUCCCACUGGCUCAGAGUCCAGAUGUCCCAACUGAACCUGAACACAAUGGAAGAACGGAUGUAGUGAUAGAACAUGGGGAAGCUGACUUCGUUAACGGCUGAAGUCCAAGACUUGAAGGCCACAAUCAAGUCUCUGGAGCAGGAAAUCCACUUUUUCUAUCCUUUUCCACCUUUUCUAUCAACGAUAUAAGUGACAGCGAAGAAA